This 497-nucleotide ribosomal RNA is filed under the name uncultured bacterium. Its description in RNAcentral is "partial 16S ribosomal RNA". It matches the Rfam family "Bacterial small subunit ribosomal RNA", at positions 28 to 507 of the family's 1533-position model. The record is from RNAcentral.
GAUGAACGCUGGCGGCGUGCCUAAUACAUGCAAGUCGAGCGAACAGACGAGGAGCUUGCUCCUCUGACGUUAGCGGCGGACGGGUGAGUAACACGUGGAUAACCUACCUAUAAGACUGGGAUAACUUCGGGAAACCGGAGCUAAUACCGGAUAAUAUAUUGAACCGCAUGGUUCAAUAGUGAAAGACGGUUUUGCUGUCACUUAUAGAUGGAUCCGCGCCGCAUUAGCUAGUUGGUAAGGUAACGGCUUACCAAGGCAACGAUGCGUAGCCGACCUGAGAGGCGGGUAGGCCACCCUGGAACUGGGACGCGGUCCAGACUCCUACGGGAGGCAGCAGUAGGGAAUCUUCCGCAAUGGGCGAAAGCUUGACGGAGCAACGCCGCGUGAGUGAUGAAGGUCUUCGGAUCGUAAAACUCUGUUAUUAGGGAAGAACAAAUGUGUAAGUAACUAUGCACGUCUUGACGGUACCUAAUCAGAAAGCCACGGCUAACUACGUG